AUUGCCCUAGUAACGGGCGAGUGAAGCGGCAACAGCUCAAAUUUGAAAUCUGGCUUCGGCCCGAGUUGUAAUUUGCAGAGGAUGUUUCUGGCGCGGUGCCUUCCGAGUUCCCUGGAACGGGACGCCACAGAGGGUGAGAGCCCCGUAUGGUCGGACACCAAGCCUGUGUGAAACUCCUUCAACGAGUCGAGUAGUUUGGGAAUGCUGCUCUAAAUGGGAGGUAAAUCUCUUCUAAAGCUAAAUACCGGCCAGAGACCGAUAGCGCACAAGUAGAGUGAUCGAAAGAUGAAAAGCACCUUGAAAAGGGGGUUAAAUAGUACGUGAAAUUGUUGAAAGGGAAGCACUUAUGACCAGACUUGGGCCGGGCGGCUCAUCAGGGGUUCUCCCCUGUGCACUCCGCCCGGCACAGGCCAGCAUCGGUUUUCGCGGGGGGAUAAGACCGACGGGAACGUAGCACCCUCCGGGGUGUGUUAUAGCCCGGCGGACGAUACCCUCGCGGGGACCGAGGUCCGCGCUCCGCAAGGAUGCUGGCGUAAUGGUCAUCAGUGACCCGUCUUGAAACACGGACCAAGGAGUCGUCCAUUAGAGCGAGCGUUUGGGUGUAAAACCCGCACGCGUAAUGAAAGUGAACGCAGGUGAGAGCUUCGGCGCAUCAUCGACCGAUCCUGAUGUUCUCGGAAGGAUUUGAGUAAGAGUUUUAACGGACGGACCCGAAAGACAGUGAACUAUGCUUGUAUAGGGUGAAGCCAGAGGAAACUCUGGUGGAGGCUCGCAGCGGUUCUGACGUGCAAAUCGAUCGUCAAAUAUGAGCAUGGGGGCGAAAGACUAAUCGAACUGUCUAGUAGCUGGUUACCGCCGAAGUUUCCCUCAGGAUAGCAGUGUUGAUCUUCAGUUUUAUGAGGUAAAGCGAAUGAUUAGGGACUCGGGGG
RNAcentral lists this ribosomal RNA (929 nucleotides) under Diaporthe sp. RNAcentral's name for it is "partial large subunit ribosomal RNA". It matches the Rfam family "Eukaryotic large subunit ribosomal RNA", at positions 74 to 1035 of the family's 3401-position model. The record is from RNAcentral. Lineage: Eukaryota; Fungi; Ascomycota; Sordariomycetes; Diaporthales; Diaporthaceae.